This is a long non-coding RNA of Neogale vison (American mink), 2006 nucleotides long. RefSeq lists it as uncharacterized. The transcript has 3 exons. The record is from RefSeq and is a predicted model, not a curated record. Lineage: Eukaryota; Metazoa; Chordata; Mammalia; Carnivora; Mustelidae.
CAAAGUGUGAACGGAAUCUGUCCCAGAAGGAGGCGAGUGGAGAGAAAGCUCCUUAGAACCAGGACUCCUGCCUUUCCGCUGCCCAGACUGUGUCAGGUGACUGCAAAUGCUUUUGGGUCUCCGUGGCUCCCCAAACACACGCCCAUGAGCUGGUGCCCAAGGGGAAGGCUCCCGGAUUGCAGUAAUGGAAGCGUUUGGAGAACUGGUAGAGGAUUCGCUCCCGCUCCUGAGUCUCCCCGCUGAGAACCAGGGCCUGGAGGAAGCCCCUGGAAGGAGGACCAGAGUCCAGGACAGGGCCCAGGCUGGGGUAGCCAGCAGGCUCCAGAGCCGGGGACAAAUCAGAUUCCAGCCUCACCGGGGCCACCACCUCCCAGCCAUCCCUCCUCCCCAGAGAGGGCCUGGAGGCCUUACCGGAGGGCUCGGUCCAGGCUCUGGCCUCCAAACUGGAAGAAGGACAAGUACUCCUCAGCCACAGCCCUACUGAAGUCAUUGCUGCAGAGAGGAAACAGGAAUGAAGCCUGCAGUAGGCGGCCACUUCAGACUUCCGGAAGCCUUCCAGGUGAUAGAGGCGAGAGGCCAAGUUCCAGGCCACCUUGUCGCUGUUGACACCAUUAGCCAGCUUGUCUCCAGUCUGUGGCCUCUGGCCUUCCUCCGGGCACUGCGCCUGGGGCAUGGGGCUCUCGGGAAGCCUGUGAAUGUCCAAUAGUGGCCUCAGACUUCCACAAAGGAUGGACAGGUGGGGGUACUGGGUCAAGUGUCCCUCCAGGUCAGUCAUGGAAGGGGAUCAGUCAUCAGCAGGGUCAGUCAUCAGCAGGGGAGCUGGAGUGGUGGAGGGAGCAGCUGGACCAGGGCCUCACUGGGGAAACUCGUGCCUGGCCUGGCCUGGCCUGGCCCGGGCACUGGGACGAUCCAGAGACCUGGCGUACCCAGCAGGCUGGCAAGAGCGGGAGCCAAGCUUAGCAUGCGGCUCCUUCUCAGGUCAACCACAAGGACGUUCUGAGCCUAGCUCACCUCAGGCGGCAGGUGCAGCCCUUUGAAGAUGCCAGUGGUACUGAACCCAUCCCCAGGAGGGACGGCACUGGUCUCCCCGACCCCCACCAGCCACUUGUCUCCCUCACCUGUCCUGCCCCGCUCGUGAUGCCCCCUUGGCCCCCUCCCCCUCCCUGCCCCAGCCCCAGGCUUUCCUCCUAGAGCUGUAGCCCAGGAAGGUGCAAGGGUGAGGGGAGAUCAGGCUUCAGGCAUGGUGACAGCUGACGGCGGGGGUGGGGGGCGUUCACACAGUCGGGGAACACUCAGCAUCUGACACUCAGAACUUUGGAGGCAACCAAGCCCAGUCUCUGCCGGGCUCUUCCAUUUUCCCCAGCAACCCGACCACCGGGGCUGGGGGAUCCUCCUUAUGGGGUAUUGGGAUAGUCCAUAGCCCAGUGACCAGAGUUAGGCAGCUGGAGAGGAGCAGCAUCAGCAGCACCUGCAAAUGUUCACGGGUAAACCGACACUUAUAACACGAGGCCACACCCGACAGUCCCUCUGCCCGAACACAAACGUCCAUCUCUGCCCCCGCCCCCGGGCCAUGUCUUCGCAGCUCACUCCUCCCUGAGGCUCCUGGGGGUGUAACGGCGCCCCGCUGCAAAGGGACAGACACAUCUCACCCCCCCCCCAAAACACAGGGCUUCAUGAAGUCUGUGUUAGUGAGGCCAGAAGAUUCUAGGAGUUGCAGGAAAAGCCACUGACAGACAAGGAACCGGAGGCGUUAGGCCAGUGGGCCGUUGGGGAGGAGAAAAAUGACGACAAGCUUGUCACAGCUGAAGAGCGCUGUUUGAUAAUCAGCUGAGCGAGCCCAGAAAUGACCUCGUGGAUUAGUGUUGUUACAAAAAUAGUAUCUAGAUGGGGAGUUGCUUUUGGGGAAAAAAAUAAUACAAUUAUAAACUGUCAUGGGAUUGUGUACUUUAAAUGGGUGCACUGUACAGUCUGUUAAUUAUUUCUCAAUAAAGCUACUAUCAAAUUCA